AGUCGAACGAUGAAAGAGGGAGCUUGCUCCUUCUGGAUUAGUGGCGAACGGGUGAGUAACACGUGAGCAAUCUGCCCUUGACUCUGGGAUAAGCGUUGGAAACGACGUCUAAUACCGGAUACGACCCUCGGAGGCAUCUCCUGGGGGUGGAAAGAAUUUUGGUCAAGGAUGAGCUCGCGGCCUAUCAGCUAGUUGGUGAGGUAAUGGCUCACCAAGGCGACGACGGGUAGCCGGCCUGAGAGGGUGACCGGCCACACUGGGACUGAGACACGGCCCAGACUCCUACGGGAGGCAGCAGUGGGGAAUAUUGCACAAUGGGCGAAAGCCUGAUGCAGCAACGCCGCGUGAGGGAUGACGGCCUUCGGGUUGUAAACCUCUUUUAGUAGGGAAGAAGCGAAAGUGACGGUACCUGCAGAAAAAGCACCGGCUAACUACGUGCCAGCAGCCGCGGUAAUACGUAGGGUGCAAGCGUUGUCCGGAAUUAUUGGGCGUAAAGAGCUCGUAGGCGGUUUGUCGCGUCUGCUGUGAAAUCUGGGGGCUCAACCCCCAGCCUGCAGUGGGUACGGGCAGACUAGAGUGCGGUAGGGGAGAUUGGAAUUCCUGGUGUAGCGGUGGAAUGCGCAGAUAUCAGGAGGAACACCGAUGGCGAAGGCAGAUCUCUGGGCCGUAACUGACGCUGAGGAGCGAAAGCAUGGGGAGCGAACAGGAUUAGAUACCCUGGUAGUCCAUGCCGUAAACGUUGGGAACUAGAUGUGGGGACCAUUCCACGGUCUCCGUGUCGCAGCUAACGCAUUAAGUUCCCCGCCUGGGGAGUACGGCCGCAAGGCUAAAACUCAAAGGAAUUGACGGGGGCCCGCACAAGCGGCGGAGCAUGCGGAUUAAUUCGAUGCAACGCGAAGAACCUUACCAAGACUUGACAUAUACGAGAACGCUGCAGAAAUGUAGAACUCUUUGGACACUCGUAAACAGGUGGUGCAUGGUUGUCGUCAGCUCGUGUCGUGAGAUGUUGGGUUAAGUCCCGCAACGAGCGCAACCCUCGUCCUAUGUUGCCAGCACGUAAUGGUGGGAACUCAUGGGAUACUGCCGGGGUCAACUCGGAGGAAGGUGGGGAUGACGUCAAAUCAUCAUGCCCCUUAUGUCUUGGGCUUCACGCAUGCUACAAUGGCCGGUACAAAGGGCUGCGAUACCGUAAGGUGGAGCGAAUCCCAAAAAGCCGGUCUCAGUUCGGAUUGAGGUCUGCAACUCGACCUCAUGAAGUCGGAGUCGCUAGUAAUCGCAGAUCAGCAACGCUGCGGUGAAUACGUUCCCGGGCCUUGUACACACCGCCCGUCAAGUCAUGAAAGUCGGUAACACCCGAAGCCGGUGGCCUAACCCCU
RNAcentral lists this ribosomal RNA (1376 nucleotides) under Microbacteriaceae bacterium CC14M2. RNAcentral describes it as "bacterial SSU rRNA". It matches the Rfam family "Bacterial small subunit ribosomal RNA". Lineage: Bacteria; Bacillati; Actinomycetota; Actinomycetes; Micrococcales; Microbacteriaceae. The record is from RNAcentral. RNAcentral also lists the same sequence under 1 other name.